GCUGAAAUAGCUCAGUUGGGAGAGCGUUAGACUGAAAUUUUAAAAGUCCUUGGUUCAAUCCCGGGUUUCAGCA
This 73-nucleotide transfer RNA is filed under the name Nomascus leucogenys (northern white-cheeked gibbon). RNAcentral's name for it is "tRNA-Phe (GAA) (tRNA-Phe-GAA-4-1)". It matches the Rfam family "tRNA". Rfam says of the family: Transfer RNA (tRNA) molecules are approximately 80 nucleotides in length. Lineage: Eukaryota; Metazoa; Chordata; Mammalia; Primates; Hylobatidae. The record is from Rfam by way of RNAcentral.